GUGCCAGCAGUCGCGGUUAUACCAAUAGGGCAAGUAAUACACUAUUAAUGGUAGAAAGGACUCGUAGAUGGUCCCUCUUCGGGGGGACUAGAAUAAAUUAUAUUAUGUUUAUAUAAUACUAUAAGUAAAGGUUAAAUUUAAUAAUAUAUAGUAGAAUAUUAAUAUAUGAAAAUAAUAAACAAUUAAUUUAUUGACAUUAAGGAGUGUAGUCUAGGAUUAUUAAGUAGGAGUAGUCAACCUAUUAAACCUAAGAUGUUAACUAUGUAUACUAAUAUUAUAUUAUUAUUUAUGAUAUAAUUAUAAUAUUAACUGACUAGUAUAGUAUACCACCAGGGAAGUAUAAAUUAAUAUUUUAGAAACUCAAGACAUUAGGCGGUUUAGGCUAAUAACAGUGGAUUAUGUUAUUUAAU
Molecule: ribosomal RNA, 410 nt
Filed under: Groenewaldozyma auringiensis
Lineage: Eukaryota; Fungi; Ascomycota; Dipodascomycetes; Dipodascales; Trichomonascaceae
Description: partial small subunit ribosomal RNA
Rfam family: Bacterial small subunit ribosomal RNA
Source: RNAcentral